Molecule: ribosomal RNA, 4269 nt
Filed under: Triticum aestivum (bread wheat)
Lineage: Eukaryota; Viridiplantae; Streptophyta; Magnoliopsida; Poales; Poaceae
Description: partial small subunit ribosomal RNA
Source: RNAcentral
AUGAGCUACGCGGCGUACAAGAUGAAGCACUGGCCGACGGGCAUCGAGCACUGCGCCGCCGGCUUCAUCGCGCACCGCCCCUCCGACGCCGCUGCCUUCCCCGCGCCCGCCGCGGGGCCGGCGGCCUCCUCCGGGGCCGACAGCGACGCCGACUCCUCCUCCGCGAGGCGCCGCGGCCCCACCCCCACCCUCGUCGUCGCGGCCGCCAACGUGCUGGAGGUCUACGCCGUCAGGGCCGAGGCGGCGCCCGCCGCCGAGGACGGGGCCGCGUUCGACGGCGUCCUCGGGGCCCGCCUCGAGCUCGUGUGCCAUUACAGGCUCCAUGGGAACGUCGAGUCGAUGGCCGUGCUGUCGGAUGGGGCGGAGAACAGGCGAGACUCCAUUGCGCUCGCUUUCAGAGACACCAAGAUAACCUGCCUGGAAUUCGACGACGCCAUCCAUGGACUGCGGACUAGCUCAAUGCAUUGCUUUGAGGGCCCAGAAUGGCAGCAUCUAAAAAGAGGCAGGGAAUCAUUUGCUUGGGGUCCUGUCAUAAAAUCUGACCCGCUAGGCAGAUGUGGCGCUGCACUUAUUUAUGGACUACAAAUGGCCAUUCUGAAAGCUGCCCAGGUUGGACAGAGCUUAGUGGGAGAAGAUGAACCUACACGUGCACUGAGUUCUAGUGCUGUCCGUGUCGAGUCAUCAUAUUUGAUUGACUUACGAGCUUUAGAGACAAAUCAUGUCAAAGAUUUUACAUUUGUACAUGGUUAUAUUGAGCCUGUAUUGGUCAUAUUACAUGAGCGAGAGCCUACAUGGGCUGGGCGUAUCUCAUCAAAGCACCAUACAUGUAUGAUAUCAGCAUUUAGUAUAAGCAUGACACUGAAGCAACACCCAGUGAUAUGGUCUGCUGCUAACCUACCGCAUGAUGCAUACCAAAUUCUUUCUGUGCCUCCACCUAUUAGUGGUGUUCUUGUCGUCUGUGCAAAUUCUAUCCACUAUCAUAGUCAGUCCACUUCUUGUUCCCUUGCCCUCAACAGUUUUUCAUCACAGCCAGAUGGCAGUCCAGAAAUUCCUAAAUUAAAUUUUCAUGUGGAGCUUGAUGCAGCUAAAGCGACAUGGUUAUCCAAUGAUAUUGUAAUGUUCUCGACAAAGACCGGAGAAAUGCUGUUACUUACAGUAGUUUACGAUGGCAGAACUGUGCGAAGAUUAGAUCUUAUGAAGUCAAAAGCAUCUGUCAUCAGUUCGGGUGCUACGACUAUUGGAAGUUCAUUCUUCUUCCUUGGUAGCCGUUUGGGAGACAGCCUUCUUGUGCAAUUUUCCUGCGGUGUGGCAACAUCUGUCUUACCAGAUCUAAUAGACGAGCGGUCUGGUGAUAUUGAAGGCGACCUGCCUUUUCCGAAGCGCCUGAAGAGGGUGCCUUCUGACGUUUUACAGGAUGUGACCAGUGUUGAGGAACUUUCUUUUCAGAAUAACAUGUUGCCAAACAGUAUAGAAUCAGCACAGAAAAUCUCAUAUGUCGUGAGAGAUAAGUUGAUCAAUGUUGGCCCUCUGAAAGAUUUUUCAUACGGUUUAAGAGUCAAUGCAGAUGCCAAUGCAACAGGAAAUGCAAAGCAAAGCAAUUAUGAGUUGGUGUGCUGUUCUGGUCAUGGAAAGAACGGAGCACUUUCUGUCCUACAACAAUCUAUUCGCCCUGAUUUAAUUACCGAGGUGGAAUUACCAAGUUGCAGAGGUAUUUGGACAGUGUACUAUAAGAGUUCCCGUGCACAUACCAGUGAAGAUAAUGAAUAUCAUGCAUAUCUGAUAAUAAGUCUAGAGAGCCGGACCAUGGUACUUGAGACAGGUGAUGAUCUAGGAGAAGUUACUGAAACAGUUGAUUAUUAUGUUCAAGGGGCGACCAUUGCUGCUGGUAACUUGUUCGGAAGGCGGCGUGUCAUACAGGUAUACGCCACGGGUGCUCGUGUGCUUGAUGGUUCUUUCAUGACACAGGAGCUAAACUUUACUGCGCAUUCUUCAGAAUCUUCAUCGUCAAGUUCUGAGCCUCUUGGAGUGGCAUCUGCUUCCAUUGCAGAUCCAUACGUUCUUUUGAAGAUGGUUGAUGGAACUGUUCAACUUCUUGUAGGAGAUCAUUCUACUUGUGCUCUUUCGAUCAGUGUUCCCAGUAUUUUUACAAGCUCAAGCGAAAAAAUAUCUGCGUGUACACUUUAUUGUGAUAGAGGUCCUGAACCAUGGCUGAGAAAGACACGUAGUGAUGCAUGGCUAUCUAGUGGUAUUGCAGAACCGAUUGAUGGCAGUGGUAGUUCAUCUCAGGAGCAGUCUGAUAUAUACUGCAUCAUUUGUUAUGAAAGUGGUAAACUAGAAAUUUUUGAAGUGCCUAGUUUCAGAUGUGUUUUCUCUGUGGAAAGUUUCUUCUCUGGUGAGGCUCUUUUGGUUGAUUCAAAAGGAAGACAUGAUGACACUAAAGUUUCUCUAAAGAAAGAAGCGGAUAGCAUUCGGGUAGUUGAGCUUGCAAUGCAUAGAUGGUCUGGCCAGUUCAGUCGCCCAUUCCUUUUUGGUUUAUUGAACGAUGGGACAUUUUUGUGCUACCAUGCUUUUUGCUAUGAAGACUCGGAGAGUAAUGUGAAAGACAAUUCAUUUUCACCUGCUGGUUCUGUGGAUCUUGCCAGUGCCAGUGAUUCGAGACUAAAAAAUUUGAGAUUUCACCGAAUUUCUGUUGACAUUACAUUACGAGAAGACAUAUCAAGUCUUGCACGACCGAGAAUCACAAUUUUUAACAAUGUUGGAGGUUAUGAGGGAUUGUUUCUUAGUGGCACGAGGCCAGUCUGGGUUAUGGUUUGUCGGCAACGAUUUCGGGUGCAUCCACAGUUAUGUGAUGGUCCCAUUGAAGCCUUUACUGUUCUCCACAAUGUAAACUGUUGUCACGGGCUUAUAUAUGUUACAUCACAGGGUUUUCUGAAGAUAUGUCAACUGCCCGAAGCAUAUAACUAUGACAACUACUGGCCUGUCCAAAAGAUCCCUUUGCAUGGUACCCCUCAUCAGGUUACAUAUUAUGCCGAGCAGUCUCUGUAUCCACUUAUCGUGUCUGUUCCUGUUGUUCGCCCCUUAAAUCAAGUUCUGUCAAUUAUGGCUGAUCAAGAUUUGGUUCAUCACAUGGAUAAUGAUGCUACUAGUGCCGAUGACCUGCAAAAAACGUAUACUGUUGAGGAAUUUGAAGUUCGCGUAUUAGAGUUGGAGAAACCUAGUGGACGUUGGGAGACAAGGUCCACUAUUCCAAUGCAAUCAUUUGAAAAUGCUCUGACUGUGCGCAUUGUUACAUUGCAUAACACAACCACCAAGGAAAAUGAAACCCUGAUGGCCAUUGGGACUGCUUAUGUUCAAGGGGAGGAUGUAGCUGCCAGAGGACGGGUGCUUCUGUUCUCUUUCACUAAAAGCGAAAAUUCUCAAAAUCUGGUAACAGAAGUCUACUCAAAAGAGAGUAAAGGUGCCGUAUCAGCUGUUGCGUCACUUCAAGGUCAUCUGCUGAUAGCUGCUGGCCCAAAGAUCACAUUGAGCAAAUGGACUGGUUCUGAAUUGACUGCUGUUGCAUUCUAUGAUGCUCCUUUGCAUGUUGUGAGCUUGAAUAUUGUCAAAAAUUUCGUUUUGUUUGGCGAUAUCCAUAAAAGCGUAUAUUUUCUUAGCUGGAAGGAGCAAGGUUCUCAAUUGACUCUGCUUGCAAAAGAUUUUGGAUCUCUAGAUUGCUUUGCAACUGAGUUCUUAAUUGAUGGAAGCACACUGAACCUUGCAGUUUCUGACUCUGAUAAGAAUUUGCAGAUCUUCUACUAUGCUCCCAAAAUGGUGGAGAGCUGGAAGGGGCAGAAGCUCCUUUCCAGAGCAGAGUUUCAUGUCGGAGCCCAUCUGACCAAGUUUAUGAGGCUGCAGAUGCUUCCCGCUCCAGGAUUGGCAUCUGAGAAGACGAAUCGUUUUGCCCUUCUUUUUGGUACUUUGGAUGGUGGUAUUGGAUGCAUUGCGCCUAUUGAUGAGUUGACAUUCCGCCGGCUUCAGAGCUUACAGAGGAAGCUUGUAGACGCCGUCCCCCACGUGUGUGGCCUGAACCCAAGAUCAUUCAGGCAGUUCAAAUCCAACGGGAAGGCACAUCGUCCUGGACCAGAUAACAUCAUUGACUUUGAGCUUCUUGCACACUAUGAGAUGCUAUCGUUGGAAGAGCAGCUUGACAUCGCACAGCAGAUUGGGACUACCCGUGCGCAGAUCCUUUCCAACUUCGCUGAUAUUUCGCUAGGCACGAGUUUCCUGUGA